Molecule: ribosomal RNA, 384 nt
Filed under: Triticum aestivum (bread wheat)
Lineage: Eukaryota; Viridiplantae; Streptophyta; Magnoliopsida; Poales; Poaceae
Description: partial small subunit ribosomal RNA
Source: RNAcentral
GCUCUGGAAACGUCGAAGCUAGUCUGGGACUGGCUGUCCAAGGUCAACGAAGGCGUCUCAACCCAGAGAGAUCAAAGAAUCAGUGUUCUUCGCAACCUCUUCAACCGCUUCAAGAGAAACGACAAUGAAAAUGUCCAGCUCACGUUUGAUUGCCUCACUGACAUCACAAAUGAACUUCAAGCUCUUGGCGCAACUGAGAUUACCAAGCAUGAAAUCGUCAAGACAUUGCUGAGAUCACUUGACAGCUCCUUUGACACCCAUGCCCUCAUGAUACAAGAACGUCCUGACUUCAAGUCACUCGAUCCGUCUGAUAUACUUGAGAGGCUCAACACACAUGAGUUCCAGCUAUCUGAGAAAAGAGAUAUCUAUGGCCCAAACUAUGGC